Small nucleolar RNA from Cervus hanglu yarkandensis (Yarkand deer), 135 nucleotides. Its record names the gene SNORA70. It matches the Rfam family "Small nucleolar RNA SNORA70". Rfam says of the family: snoRNA U70 seems to be exclusive to mammals and is a member of the H/ACA class of snoRNA which contain H (ANANNA) and ACA box motifs. H/ACA box snoRNAs are involved in the conversion of uridines to pseudouridines (5-ribosyluracil) a constituent of structural RNAs (transfer, ribosomal, small nuclear, and small nucleolar). The record is from Ensembl. Lineage: Eukaryota; Metazoa; Chordata; Mammalia; Artiodactyla; Cervidae.
UUGCAGCCGAUUAAGUCAACUAUGUUCUUUUCCCGAGAGGGGCCCAGUGUACAAUGGCUGCAAAUAGCAGCCUCCACAGCAGUGUACACAGCCUGUUGCCUGCAGAGGCUGCCCUAAGGGAACUUGGAGACAACC